This is a long non-coding RNA of Helianthus annuus (common sunflower), 1018 nucleotides long. RefSeq lists it as uncharacterized. Lineage: Eukaryota; Viridiplantae; Streptophyta; Magnoliopsida; Asterales; Asteraceae. The record is from RefSeq and is a predicted model, not a curated record. The transcript has 3 exons.
CACGCACACAACCCUACCCACCCUCUGCUUCCCCUCUCGAAGUCUAGUAACCAGAGAACGAAGCUCCGGUUGGUGCCCCACUCUCUCCGACUGCUUAUCUCCGGCUCGACACACCCGCACCUCCACCCUCCUUCUCCGGUAACACACACUUACCGCUUAAACCUCAACCCUUGCGACUCUUCUCCUCUGAUGACAACACACACCGACACCCCCCCCACUGAGCAGAUCGGACAGAUCGAAGAGAGAGAGAAACAGCGAGAGAGAAAGAGACGGAGCAGAGGAGAGGGCUCCGCCGUCUGCGGCAGCGGUGGUGCCCCUGGUGCCGUUCUUGUUCAGGUUCACAAAUGGUUGCUGUUAGGUUGGAAACAGAACGAGAGUGAAAGUAGCGACUGAUGUACGACAGUGGAACAAGUUUUCCGGCGACAAAUCCGCCGUCAGCGGCGGAGCCGUGGCGGCAGUGAUGGUGUUUUUGGUCCAACGGGUUUCAUGGUAAACCCCCUCCCCUGUUUCCUUUUCAUGUUUUUUUAUUUGUUUUGUUUUUUUUGAGGAUUAUGCUGAUGUUGGUGGUGUUACUUGUUCUCCGACGAGAGCUCCGGUCAAAGCCGAUGAUGAUGAAGAUAUGAAGACGAAGACUCAGCAGCCGGUUCUGAGAUUUGUUUAGAUAGGUCAGGUUGAUGUUCGGUUCGGCGUCGCUCGACACGGGCAGCUCGGGUCUCGUGUCGGGUCAGAUUUGAAUCGUGGUCAAGCUUGGUCAACGGUUCGGUCUGAUUCGGUCAAAGUCAACGAGCCAAAUCAGCUGCGUUUCGGGUCAAACUCGGUUGACUCGGUCAACACCCGAGUCAACUCGGGUCAACACAAGUCAACAGAAGUCAAGGAUGGUCAAAUCAGACCCGGAAUACUAUAGAUGCACGCUAGCUAAUUCACGUUCCUGGAAUGACAUCACGGAAUCACUAAGCUAGCUUUGAACAGGAAUGUCAAGGUUACAUUUUCAAAACUAUGGAAUGGUUGGAAUAGGAGA